RNAcentral lists this long non-coding RNA (1891 nucleotides) under Vigna radiata. RNAcentral describes it as "long non-coding RNA (VRAD_LNC017667)". The record is from RNAcentral. Lineage: Eukaryota; Viridiplantae; Streptophyta; Magnoliopsida; Fabales; Fabaceae.
AUUUGGGGAUUUAAAGUGUGCAAUGCAGCCCCUAAGUCUAAAAAACAAAGACUAUGAAAAAUUUCAAAAUUUUGGCACCAAGCACGAACUUAGUGCUAUCUCACCACCAAAGAUAGCUAGCUUGAAAAGCAACUAAAUUGAAACAUUUCUUGCACCUACAUUUUGAUAGUAGUCGUCAUUUAUGGAUUUAAAGAGUGCAUUGCAGCCCCUAAGUCUAAAAAACCAAGACUUUCAUAAAUUUCAAAAUCUUGGCACUAAGCACCAACUUAGUACAGUCUCACCACUAAACAUAGCUUCCUUGAAAGCAACUAAAUUGAAACAUUUCUUGCACCUAUAUUUUGACACUAGUCGUCAUUUGGGUAUUUAAAGAGUGCAUUGCAGCCCCUAAGUCUAAAAGCCCAAGACUUUAAAAAAUUUCCAAAUCUUGGCACCAAGCACAAACUUAUUUCAGUCUCACCACAAAACAUAGCUUGCUUUAAAAGAAACUAAAUUGAAACAUUUCUUGCACAUAUAUUUUGACACUAGUCGUCAAUUGGGGAUUUAAAGAGUGCAACGCAGCCCCUAAGUCAGAAAAUCCAAGACUAUAAAAAAUUUCAAAAUCUUGGCACCAAUCACGAACUUCGUCCUAUCGCACCACCAAACAUAGCUAGCUUGAAAAGCUACUAAAUUGAGACAUUUCCUGCACCUAUAUUUUGUCACUAGUCGUCAUUUGGGGAUUUAAAAAGUGCAUUGCAACUCCUAAGUCUAAAAAACGAAGAGUUUAAAAAAUUUCCAAACCUUGGUACGAAGCCCCAACGUAGUCUAGUCUAAUCACUAAACAUAACUUGCUUGAAAAGAAACUAAAUGGACACAUUUCUUGCACCUAUAUUUUGACACUAAAUAUCAUUUGGGGAUUUAAAGAAUGCAUUCCAGCCCCUAAUUCUAAUAAACCAAGACUUUAAAAAAUUUCAAAAUCUUGGUACCAAGCACCAACUUAGUCCAGUCUCAGAACCAAACAUUGCUUCCUUGAAAAGCAACAAAAUUGAAACAUUUCUUACACCUAUAUUUUGACACUAGUCGUCAUUUGGGUAUUUAAAGAAUGCAUUGCAGCCCCUAAGUCUAAAAAACCAAGACUUUAAAAAAUUUCCAAACCUUGGUACGAAGCACCAACGUAGUCCAGUCUAACCACUAAGCAUAGCUUGCUUGAAAAGCAAUUAAAUGGACACAUUUCUUGCACCUAUAUUUUGACACUAAUUAUCAUGAGGGGAUUUAAAGAGUGUAUUCCAGCCCCUAAGUCUAAAAAACCAAGACUUUAAAAAAUUUCCAAAUCUUGCCACCAAUCACCAACUUAGUCCAAUCUCACCACCAAACAUAGCUUGCUUAAAGAGCAAAUAAAUUGAGACAUUUCCUGCACCUAUAUUUCGACACUAAUUAUCGUUUGGGGAUUUAAAGAGUGCAUUCCAGCCCCUAAGUCUAAAAAACAAGGACUUUAAAAAAUUUCCAAACCUUGGUACCAAGCACAAACUUAGUCCAGUGUCACCACUAAACAUACUUGCUUGAAAAGCAACUAAAUGGACACAUAUCUUGCACCUAUAUAUUGACACUAAUUAUCAUUUGGGGAUUUAAAGAGUGCAUUCCAGCCCCUAAGUCUAAAAAACAAAGACUUUAAAAACUUUCCAAAUCUUGGCACCAAGCACCAAUUUAUUUCAGUCUCACAACAAAACAUAGCUGGCUUGAAAAGUAACAAAGUUGAAACAUUUUUUGCACCUAUAUUUUGACACUAGUCGUCAUUUGGGGAUUUAAAAAGUGCACUGCGGCCCCUAAGUCUAAAAAACCAAGACUAUCAAAAAUUUCCAAAUCCUGGCACCAAUCACGAACUUAGUCCUAUCUCACCACCAAACAUAGCUUGCUU